GACGAACGCUGGCGGCGUGCUUAACACAUGCAAGUCGAACGGAAAGGCCCUGCUUUUGUGGGGUACUCGAGUGGCGAACGGGUGAGUAACACGUGAGUAACCUGCCCUUUACUUUGGGAUAACUUCAGGAAACUGGGGCUAAUACCGGAUAUGAGCUCCUGCUGCAUGGUGGGGGUUGGAAAGUUUGGGCGGUUGGGGAUGGACUCGCGGCUUAUCAGCUUGUUGGUGGGGUAGUGGCUUACCAAGGCUUUGACGGGUAGCCGGCCUGAGAGGGUGACCGGGCACAAUGGGCCUGAGAUACGGCGCAGACUCCUACGGGAGGCAGCAGUGGGGAAUAUUGCACAAUGGGCGGAAGCCUGAUGCAGCAACGCCGCGUGCGGGAUGACGGCCUUCGGGUUGUAAACCGCUUUCGCAUGUGACGAAGCGUGAGUGACGGUAAUGGGUAAAGAAGCACCGGCUAACUACGUG
Molecule: ribosomal RNA, 468 nt
Filed under: uncultured bacterium
Lineage: Bacteria
Description: partial 16S ribosomal RNA
Rfam family: Bacterial small subunit ribosomal RNA
Source: RNAcentral